RNAcentral lists this ribosomal RNA (478 nucleotides) under uncultured bacterium. RNAcentral describes it as "partial 16S ribosomal RNA". It matches the Rfam family "Bacterial small subunit ribosomal RNA", at positions 28 to 523 of the family's 1533-position model. The record is from RNAcentral.
GACGAACGCUGGCGGCGUGCUUAACACAUGCAAGUCGAACGGUAAGGCCCUUCGGGGUACACGAGUGGCGAACGGGUGAGUAACACGUGGGUGAUCUGCCCUGCACUUCGGGAUAAGCCUGGGAAACUGGGUCUAAUACCGGAUAGGACCACUGCCUGCAUGGGUGGUGGUGGAAAGCUUUUGCGGUGUGGGAUGGGCCCGCGGCCUAUCAGCUUGUUGGUGGGGUGAUGGCCUACCAAGGCGACGACGGGUAGCCGGCCUGAGAGGGUGACCGGCCACACUGGGACUGCGGUACGGCCCAGACUGCUACGGGAGGCAGCAGUGGGGAAUAUUGCGCAAUGGGCGCAAGCCUGAUGCAGCGACGCCGCGUGAGGGAUGACGGCCUUCGGGUUGUAAACCUCUUUCAGCACCGACGAAGCGCAAGUGACGGUAGGUGCAGAAGAAGGACCGGCCAACUACGUGCCAGCAGCCGCCGUAA